CAAAAAAAAUUGUAUGUAUAUGUAUAUAAAUUUCCCUCGUAUUCGUACGUGUAAUAAAUGCCCGGGGAGUUAUAAAUUGCAUGCGCUGAUAGCCACUUACGAGAGCGCUGCAUGCAGCUUUUAUGCUGCCCCAAACAUGUGUGGCAAGUGACUUUGACGGGCAUCGAUGACGGGCAAAUGAAAGGGCAUCUGCUUGAGUAUUGGUGAGCUUUUGAAAGCUUUGUGUUUGCUUUAAUUACCCCAAAAAAGCUUAUAACGUCUGUGUGAGCUAUGCGUGUGUGAAAGCUGUGCCAAAGUCGGAUAAGAGGCUCCAGUAAAGUAAAGGGUAUCGCAAGAACAUCUCAUUUUCAGCGCCUGUCCCCUGUGCUUAAGAUUUAUAAUGCAUGCAGGCACAAAGCGAGCAAUGGCAUCCGCAUCCACAUCCACAUCCACAACCCGAACUGCAUCCUUAUCAGUGAGUCUUUCCUUUGCGCUGGAGCCGCAUUUCCGCCGUUAAUUGAAUACAGAGGAGUCCACGUGAGAGGAGCAGACGAAGUUAAGCAAGGAGCAGGCACAUAUGUGAGUGUGUAUAUAACGAUUAAUCAAACGGAGAAUCUGUAGGUCAAAAAUAUUGCGCAUACGCCGCGUUGCCCGGCCCGACUAUAUAACAAUUAAGUAUCAUUUAGUUAGAAUCAGGAAAGCGAAACAAAGCACAAGUACAAACAAUAAAAUGCUACAACAAAAUGCAUUAUCAAAACAAUAAACAAUUGAUGGCAUUUCACUUAGGCCAGCAGCAAGUGGAGACCAAAGCAGAAACCGAAACAGAAACAGGCCGCAAGCAUAAAGCAGAAAUCAAUAAAAAUAAAACACAAAACGCACACACAAAAGCACAAGAGCUGAAGAAGAAGAAGAAGAAACAAGAGGCGGCAAAUAAAUAAAAAUUGCUUUAUUUAUUAAGCAUUAAACAAUAAAUGGG
Drosophila montana is the source of this 955-nucleotide long non-coding RNA. RefSeq lists it as uncharacterized. The record is from RefSeq and is a predicted model, not a curated record. Lineage: Eukaryota; Metazoa; Arthropoda; Insecta; Diptera; Drosophilidae. The transcript is spliced from 4 exons.